Molecule: long non-coding RNA, 2560 nt
Organism: Magnolia sinica
Lineage: Eukaryota; Viridiplantae; Streptophyta; Magnoliopsida; Magnoliales; Magnoliaceae
Exons: 4
Source: RefSeq, a predicted model, not a curated record
AAUGCUGGUGUUGGUAUUGUGGCGCUGCUGAUCGGCGGUGCUGUUGUUCGAGCAUUGCUGGUGCUCCAGUAGCGAUGGCGGAAUCAGAUUCCUAUGAUGAGUUGCAUAACAUCGCCAAGUCGGAGACAGAGCAGGAAACACUGCUCUUAGUUGUUGACGAUGAUGCUUAGUGGGUUCGACGGAUCUCAUUGUUGACGACGACGCACUUGAUGUGAUAGAGGGUGCAGCGGAUGAAGCUGUUGGCCCUAUUGACGGUGGCUGUGGCUACCGUAUUUAAGAAGGAUGAUAGAUCAGAGGCGGAGCAGAGGGGCGCUGUGCUGGUGGUGGCUGCAAUGGACGAGGAUUCUGCUUCACCUAAUCAGAGAUGGAGAAAGGGGGGACCGGUGACUACCGUUGCUUGCGGCAGGAGAUGGGCCUCGAAACUCUGAUUUUAAUGGAGGAUGACGAUGGAGAAGGGGAGGCCAGCUGCUGCCCUUGAUUGCAGCUAGAGAUGGACUUCGAAAUUUGUUGGAGAGACUGAUUAGAGUUACAGAGGAGAGCAAUGAGAAGUUCCUGUUGAAGCUCAAAGACUGAAUCGACUGAGCCGAAAUCGAGGUUCUCAUAGUCGAAGUCCGAUUCAAGCAUUUGAAUGUCGAAGAAGAGGCCUAUGUUGCUCGUGGAGCUUAUUGUUCAUGGUCAACUUCACCAUUAAUAUUAUUGAGGGCUUCUUGAAUAGUCUAUGUUUUUUACGUGUUAUUACCAUUGUACUGACUAAGUUGGUCAAGUGGAAGAUUUUGGAUUCGUUUGUGAAGAUCGGAGUAUAAAUAUUGGAGUUUCUUAUCUAUUGACAUCUUAUCGCAGUUAGUGAAAAGAACUUUGAUGGGACAUUGCAAUAUGCCCGUAACAAAAGAGUUCAGGUCUCGCACUUCUACAGUUCUUUAUGAAAUUGGAUGACGGAUGCAAACAACUCUCGCCAUUGGUCAAUGAACUUUCCCAGAGAUGCCCUUUGCAGAGCUUCCUUAAGGUGCAUUUCCAAGCCAUUUCUUGUGCCUUGUGAUGUACAUUUCCAUGUAGGCAUCUGCUUUGGAGGUCUGUUGAUACCAUGUGUCUGUAGGGAGCAGCACCUACACAUGCCUCCACAUGUGCCAAUAUGGCCCUCAUGUGCAAGAUCCAAGUUGCUCAUUAGGUGGGCCGCAAGCCCCAACAUGUAGAUUCACUGGCACAGGAAUCAGGGAGUUUUGUCCACCCACCCAUCAGGUGGGGCAAAUGUACAUUUAAUGAACACUGGGCCAAACUGUUCUUAGCCAUGCAUUUGAUCUGUUCUUUGUGGCCCACCUGAUGGUAGACCAGCCUGUUUAUUUGACCCAGGGCAUGUAGGCAAGAGGCCGCUUGAUCGACACAGCUCCAUUGGCACAAUCUUCCAAUGUGAUUUUGGAUAAUCCAGUCCCUAGUUCUGGUUCAGAGAUAUGUUCUGUUUUGCAAUUUAGUAUCAAUGAUCUUAGAACAAGGAGGAGCCAGUCCCUAGUUCAAUCUUGGUUUUAUCAUUGGCAAGAUUGAUCAAGACUUAUUUAUUGUAGAUCAGGUAACUUUGCCUUUUUCUUCAUAUCAGUGGAAGUCCAUAUGCACACACUUCUCAUGUUUCAUAAGCCUGUUUUUCAUGCUUAUGACAGUUCUUUAUAAAUGGUGUGUUUGGAUAAAGGCCUGCCUACCUAGCACCAAUCAAUUUCUAAUUAGAUGUUGUGGGAUUCUUAAGAUAGUGAAAUGAACACGUACUAAGAUCUGGAAUUUGAUGCAGCAUGCUGCAGACGAGAAAUACAACUUUGAUCGACUCUCACAAUCAACCAUCUUGCACCAACAGCCUCUGCUUCAGUGAGUAAGAAUUUAUCUUUGGUUAAAAAUAUUUCUAUUAACUUGGUUGUCUAUACUCAGAAUGUGAACCAAUAUAAAAAUCCUAUAUUGCAGAAGACCAUCAAUGUAUUUAGGCAUGUUGGCUUAUUUUAAUGCAGUGGAAUUUGUCUUUUUGAGUUCAUGUCACUUCUAAUAACAUUAUUAUAUCUCAAAACAUCAUCAUUUGUAAUUAGCAAUAUUAGGUGUAUGGAUCGGGCAUUUCCACCUUCUUUUAGUGCUUAUGAUUUCUCAUUUACUUACCUUGAACCAAUCUUAUGAGUUAUCAGGCAUUUUCCUUAGCUUUGAUUCUUGUCAUGCUAGUAUCAACUAAAAAUUAGUGUCAAUGAUCAGUUGCCUAACAGCUUGUCGCAGGCUUUCUCUAUGCUUUUGUUGUUGGGUUGCAAAUAGCUAUGUGCUCUUCUUGUAUCUCAUUCUUUGCACAAGUUUCCGUAUACAGGUCACAUGGGGAGCAUUCCUUUACAGGUCAUUAUGUUGUGCAGCUCGCUCAGCUCAUGAUCUAAUUCAACAAGAAUCAGAGGCUAUUCAAUCUCAAAGGAAUUGCUGUGAGUAAUUGCAUUUAUAUUAGCUAAGACAGUUUGCUAUUGUAGCCCACCUCCUUAACAGAUCCCAUUUUAUUUGUGGCUAAGUUAUUAUACAAUUUUCAGCUUCUUGUGUCACGUCUUGAAUUUUCAUG